RNAcentral lists this small nuclear RNA (20 nucleotides) under Arabidopsis thaliana (thale cress). Its description in RNAcentral is "snRNA_19196". Lineage: Eukaryota; Viridiplantae; Streptophyta; Magnoliopsida; Brassicales; Brassicaceae. The record is from RNAcentral.
ACACUUACUUUGAUGUAUCU